GCCGGAGUAGCUCAGUGGUAGAGCGGCUGUUUUGUAAACAGCGGGUCGCGGGUUCGAGUCCUGUCUUCGGCUCCA
This 75-nucleotide transfer RNA is filed under the name Capsulimonadaceae bacterium. RNAcentral's name for it is "tRNA-Thr". It matches the Rfam family "tRNA". From Rfam's summary of the family: Transfer RNA (tRNA) molecules are approximately 80 nucleotides in length. Their secondary structure includes four short double-helical elements and three loops (D, anti-codon, and T loops). Lineage: Bacteria; Bacillati; Armatimonadota; Armatimonadia; Capsulimonadales; Capsulimonadaceae. The record is from RNAcentral.